UGAGGAAUAUUGGUCAAUGGGCGGAAGCCUGAACCAGCCAAGUCGCGUGAGGGAUGACGGUCCUAUGGAUUGUAAACCUCUUUUGCCGGGGAGCAAAGACAGCCUUGCGAGGUUGUCCGGAGAGUACCCGGAGAAAAAGCAUCGGCUAACUCCGUGCCAGCAGCCGCGGUAAUACGGAGGAUGCGAGCGUUAUCCGGAUUUAUUGGGUUUAAAGGGUGCGUAGGCGGGAUGUUAAGUCAGCGGUAAAAUUGCGGUGCUCAACGCCGUACAGCCGUUGAAACUGAUAUUCUUGAGUGGGCGAGAAGUAUGCGGAAUGCGUGGUGUAGCGGUGAAAUGCAUAGAUAUCACGCAGAACUCCGAUUGCGAAGGCAGCAUACCGGCGCCCAACUGACGCUGAGGC
This 400-nucleotide ribosomal RNA is filed under the name uncultured bacterium. RNAcentral describes it as "bacterial SSU rRNA". It matches the Rfam family "Bacterial small subunit ribosomal RNA", at positions 355 to 752 of the family's 1533-position model. The record is from RNAcentral.